RNAcentral lists this ribosomal RNA (185 nucleotides) under Pseudomonas aeruginosa. RNAcentral describes it as "partial 16S ribosomal RNA". It matches the Rfam family "Bacterial small subunit ribosomal RNA", at positions 1 to 176 of the family's 1533-position model. Lineage: Bacteria; Pseudomonadati; Pseudomonadota; Gammaproteobacteria; Pseudomonadales; Pseudomonadaceae. The record is from RNAcentral.
AGCAGUAUUGAACUGAAGAGUUUGAUCAUGGCUCAGAUUGAACGCUGGCGGCAGGCCUAACACAUGCAAGUCGAGCGGAUGAAGGGAGCUUGCUCCUGGAUUCAGCGGCGGACGGGUGAGUAAUGCCUAGGAAUCUGCCUGGUAGUGGGGGAUAACGUCCGGAAACGGGCGCUAAUACCGCAUAC